UUCGGCGAAUGGGCGCAAGCCUGACCGAGCGACGCCGCGUGUGCGAUGAAGGCCUUCGAGUUGUAAAGCACUGUCGAGGGGGAGGAAGCCGAAAGGUUGACCUAUCCCUGGAGGAAGCACGGGCUAAGUUCGUGCCAGCAGCCGCGGUAAGACGAACCGUGCGAACGUUGUUCGGAAUCACUGGGCUUAAAGGGCGCGUAGGCGGGUGAGCAAGUCUAGGGUGAAAUCCUCCGGCUUAACCGGAGAAGUGCCUUAGAUACUGCUUGUCUCGAGGGAGGUAGGGGUCAUCGGAACUUCUGGUGGAGCGGUGAAAUGCGUUGAUAUCAGAAGGAACGCCGGUGGCGAAAGCGGAUGACUGGACCUCUUCUGACGCUGAGGCGCGAAAGCUAGGGGAGCGAACGGGAUUAGAUACCCCGGUAGUCCUAGCCCUAAACGUUGGGUACUAGAUUGUAGACUUGCAUGGGUUUACAGUCGAAGCAAAAGUUCUAAGUACCCCGCCUGGGGAGUAUGGUCGCAAGGCUG
RNAcentral lists this ribosomal RNA (522 nucleotides) under uncultured Planctomycetota bacterium. RNAcentral's name for it is "bacterial SSU rRNA". It matches the Rfam family "Bacterial small subunit ribosomal RNA", at positions 364 to 896 of the family's 1533-position model. The record is from RNAcentral. Lineage: Bacteria; Pseudomonadati; Planctomycetota.